This 425-nucleotide ribosomal RNA is filed under the name uncultured bacterium. RNAcentral describes it as "partial 16S ribosomal RNA". It matches the Rfam family "Bacterial small subunit ribosomal RNA", at positions 354 to 796 of the family's 1533-position model. The record is from RNAcentral.
GUGGGGAAUCUUGCGCAAUGGGCGAAAGCCUGACGCAGCCAUGCCGCGUGAAUGAUGAAGGUCUUAGGAUUGUAAAAUUCUUUCACCGGGGACGAUAAUGACGGUACCCGGAGAAGAAGCUCCGGCUAACUUCGUGCCAGCAGCCGCGGUAAUACGAAGGGGGCUAGCGUUGCUCGGAAUUACUGGGCGUAAAGGGCGCGUAGGCGGACAGCUUAGUCAGAGGUGAAAGCCCAGGGCUCAACCUUGGAAUUGCCUUUGAUACUGGCUGUCUUGAGUUUGGGAGAGGUGAGUGGAACUCCGAGUGUAGAGGUGAAAUUCGUAGAUAUUCGGAAGAACACCAGUGGCGAAGGCGACUCACUGGCCCAAUACUGACGCUGAGGCGUGAAAGCGUGGGGAGCAAACAGGAUUAGAAACCCUGGUAGUCC